UACAGAGGGGGCAAGCGUUGUUCGGAAUUACUGGGCGUAAAGGGCGCGUAGGCGGCCUUCUAAGUCAGACGUGAAAUCCCUCGGCUUAACCGGGGAACUGCGUCUGAUACUGGAUGGCUUGAGAUUGGGAGAGGGAUGCGGAAUUCCAGGUGUAGCGGUGAAAUGCGUAGAUAUCUGGAGGAACACCGGUGGCGAAGGCGGCAUCCUGGACCAACACUGACGCUGAGGAGCGAAAGCCAGGGGAGCAAACGGG
This 253-nucleotide ribosomal RNA is filed under the name uncultured bacterium. RNAcentral's name for it is "partial 16S ribosomal RNA". It matches the Rfam family "Bacterial small subunit ribosomal RNA", at positions 524 to 776 of the family's 1533-position model. The record is from RNAcentral.